CCUACGGGUGGCAGCAGUGAGGAAUAUUGGUCAAUGGGCGCGAGCCUGAACCAGCCAAGUAGCGUGAAGGAUGACUGCCCUACUGGUUGUAAACUUCUUUUAUAAAGGAAUAAAGUGAGGCACGUGUGCCUUUUUGUAUGUACUUUAUGAAUAAGGAUCGGCUAACUCCGUGCCAGCAGCCGCGGUAAUACGUAGGAUCCGAGCGUUAUCCGGAUUUAUUGGGUUUAAAGGGAGCGUAGAUGGGUUGUUAAGUUAGUUGUGAAAGUCUGCGGCUCAACCGUAAAAUUGCAAGUGAUACUGGCAGACUUGAGUACAGUUGAGGUAGGCGGAAUGCGUGGUGUAGCGGUGAAAUGCUUCGAUAGCACGAAGAACUCCGAUUGCGAAGGCAGCUUACUAAACUGCCACUGACAUUGAUGCUCGAAAGUGUGGGUAUCAAACAGGAUUAGAUACCCCGGUAGUC
This 460-nucleotide ribosomal RNA is filed under the name uncultured bacterium. Its description in RNAcentral is "partial 16S ribosomal RNA". It matches the Rfam family "Bacterial small subunit ribosomal RNA", at positions 338 to 795 of the family's 1533-position model. The record is from RNAcentral.